GAAAAUCUUUCCCCCAAUCCAAAUCUUCAUCUUCUUCAAAACACCACACCCUACCCAUCCUUUAUCUUCUCCAAUACCCCCAAACCCCAAAUCAAAUCAAAAUUAGAAAAUCACUGAAUCAUAGCCAGCCCCUUCAAGUAGCAAAUCAGUCAAGCUGAGAGGGGAAACCAAAAAACCUACCGCUCGUUUCAGCAUUUAAAGCUUGGCUCCGCUCAUGCUCUCACUUACAUCAAGAACAGUAACCAAUCAAUAGGCAUAUGUCGCGUCAGGUACAGGACAUGGGUCAGUGGUGUAAAGGCAAUAUAGGAGCUUUAACCCUCAAAACGAUGGUGUACGUACCUCAACCAAUAAAGGCAUAUGUCGCUGAAAUAACAACAACCUCAACCAAUAAACUUACCUUCAUGUCAUCUUUGUGUUGUAGGUAAGAACCAUUGCUCGAAAUUGGAUGGGUAAUUUUUGCAUCUGCUAAAACGUAUGGCUCAUCAUCAAAUGCUCUUAUUUCUUGUUAGGUAAUUUUUGUAGAUUAUAACACUCUUAUCAUGUUUGGUUUCAUCAAUUUCUAUUUGUUCUUGAAGUUGCUAGUAAAGGGAUAUCUUUCCAUGUGAUCAACGGUUGUCGGAUGCGUUUUUGGUUUUGAUUUGGGUUGGG
Molecule: long non-coding RNA, 648 nt
Filed under: Olea europaea subsp. europaea
Lineage: Eukaryota; Viridiplantae; Streptophyta; Magnoliopsida; Lamiales; Oleaceae
Source: RNAcentral